GCCGACUUAGCUCAGCAGGCAGAGCAACUGACUUGUAAUCAGUAGGUCACCAGUUCAAUUCCGGUAGUCGGCACCA
This 76-nucleotide transfer RNA is filed under the name Shigella flexneri. RNAcentral's name for it is "tRNA-Thr". It matches the Rfam family "tRNA". Rfam says of the family: Transfer RNA (tRNA) molecules are approximately 80 nucleotides in length. The record is from RNAcentral. Lineage: Bacteria; Pseudomonadati; Pseudomonadota; Gammaproteobacteria; Enterobacterales; Enterobacteriaceae. RNAcentral also lists the same sequence under 1 other name.